UAAGAGGUCCCGCCUGCCCUGUGACUCUGGGUUUAACGGCCGCGGUAUCUUAACCGUGCGAAGGUAGCGUAAUCACUUGUCUCUUAAAUAGAGACCUGUAUGAAUGGCAUGACGAGGGCUUAGCUGUCUCCUUUCUCAAGUUAAUGAAAUUGACCUCCCCGUGCAGAGGCGGGGAUAUUAUCAUAAGACGAGAAGACCCUAUGGAGCUUUAGGUGUAAAAACUGCUCAUGUAAUCAACCCCUAAUAAAGGGACUUAACCUUAUGACCACAGUUUGGAUGCCUUUGGUUGGGGCGACCGCGGGGAAACAAAAAACCCCCACGUGGACUGGGACCCUACGUCCUAAAAACAAGAGCACCCGCUCUAAUUAACAGAACUUCUGACCUUACUGACCCGGCACCCGCCGAUCAACGGACCCAGUUACCCUAGGGAUAACAGCGCAAUCCUCUUAUAGAGCCCAUAUCGACAAGGGGGUUUACGACCUCGAUGUUGGAUCAGGAUAUCCUAAUGGUGCAGCCGCUAUUAAGGUU
RNAcentral lists this ribosomal RNA (528 nucleotides) under Stephanolepis hispida (planehead filefish). Its description in RNAcentral is "partial 16S ribosomal RNA". It matches the Rfam family "Bacterial large subunit ribosomal RNA", at positions 1846 to 2572 of the family's 2925-position model. The record is from RNAcentral. Lineage: Eukaryota; Metazoa; Chordata; Actinopteri; Tetraodontiformes; Monacanthidae.